This 491-nucleotide ribosomal RNA is filed under the name uncultured bacterium. Its description in RNAcentral is "partial 16S ribosomal RNA". It matches the Rfam family "Bacterial small subunit ribosomal RNA", at positions 28 to 506 of the family's 1533-position model. The record is from RNAcentral.
GAUGAACGCUAGCUACAGGCUUAACACAUGCAAGUCGAGGGGAAACGACAUCGAAAGCUUGCUUUUGAUGGGCGUCGACCGGCGCACGGGUGAGUAACGCGUAUCCAACCUGCCCAUCACUUGGGAAUAACCUUGCGAAAGUAAGACUAAUACCCAAUGACAUCCCACGAAGACAUCUGAAUGGGAUUAAAGAUUUAUCGGUGAUGGAUGGGGAUGCGUCUGAUUAGCUUGUUGGCGGGGUAACGGCCCACCAAGGCAACGAUCAGUAGGGGUUCUGAGAGGAAGGCCCCCCACAUUGGAACGUGGACCCGGCCCAAACUCCUACGGGAGGCAGAAGUGAGGAAUAUUGGUCAAGGGGCGAGGGCCUGAACCAGCCAAGUAGCGUGCAGGAUGACGGCCCUAUGGGUUGUAAACUGCUUUUAUAAGGGAAUAAAGGGGGUCCCGUGAGACUUUUUGCAUGUCCCUUAUAAAUAAGGACCGGCUAAUUCCGU